RNAcentral lists this ribosomal RNA (253 nucleotides) under uncultured bacterium. RNAcentral describes it as "partial 16S ribosomal RNA". It matches the Rfam family "Bacterial small subunit ribosomal RNA", at positions 524 to 776 of the family's 1533-position model. The record is from RNAcentral.
UACGUGAGGGGCGAACGUUGUUCGGUGUCACUGGGCUUAAAGGGUGCGUAGGUGGUUGCGUAAGUAACGUGUGAAAUCCCUCGGCUUACCCGGGGAAUUGCAUGUUAUACUGCGUGACUUGAGGACUAAAGGGGAAAAGGGAACUCCAGGUGUAGCGGUGAAAUGCGCAGAUAUCUGGGGGAAGGCCGGCGGCGAAGGCGGGACUCUGGGCCACUACUGACGCUGAGAAGCGAAAGCAUGGGGAGCGAACAGG